UGGCUCUCGCAUCGAUGAAGAACGCAGCGAAAUGCGAUACGUAAUGUGAAUUGCAGAAUUCAGUGAAUCAUCGAAUCUUUGAACGCACCUUGCACUCUUUGGUAUUCCGAAGAGUAUGUCUGUUUGAGUGUCAUGAAACUCUCAACCCCCUUAUUUUGUAAUGAAGUAAGUGUGGGCUUGGUUCAUGGUUGUUGAAGGUUCCACGGCCUUCUCAGCUGAAAUACACGAGCUACCUAUUUUAUAAUAGACGGUUUGACUCGGCGUAAUAACUAUUUCGCUGAGGACGUCAUUUUAUAAUAGUAAAUGGUGCUUCUAAUUCAACAUUAAUCUAAGCUUUAGACCUCAAAUCAGUCAGGACUACCCGCUGA
This 368-nucleotide unclassified non-coding RNA is filed under the name uncultured fungus. RNAcentral's name for it is "partial contains 5.8S ribosomal RNA and internal transcribed spacer 2". The stretch from base 1 to 133 matches the Rfam family "5.8S ribosomal RNA", at positions 22 to 154 of the family's 154-position model. The record is from RNAcentral. Lineage: Eukaryota; Fungi.